UACGGAGGGAGCGAGCGUUGUUCGGAAUUACUGGGCGUAAAGCGUGUGUAGGCGGCUUCGUAAGACAGGUGUGAAAUCCCAGGGCUUAACCCUGGAACUGCAUUUGUGACUGCAAGGCUUGAGUAUCGGAGAGGUUGGCGGAAUUCCCAGUGUAGCAGUGAAAUGCGCAGAUAUUGGGAGGAACACCGAUGGCGUAAGCAGCCAACUGGACGAUUACUGACGCUGAGAUACGAAAGUAUGGGGAGCAAACAGG
This 253-nucleotide ribosomal RNA is filed under the name uncultured bacterium. RNAcentral's name for it is "partial 16S ribosomal RNA". It matches the Rfam family "Bacterial small subunit ribosomal RNA", at positions 524 to 776 of the family's 1533-position model. The record is from RNAcentral.